RNAcentral lists this ribosomal RNA (87 nucleotides) under uncultured bacterium. RNAcentral describes it as "partial 16S ribosomal RNA". The record is from RNAcentral.
CCACAUCACGAAAAGUGAGCUGUACUAGAAGUCGCCAAGCUGACCGCAAGGAGGCAGGCGCCCAAGGUAUGACUCAUGAUUGGGGUG